Molecule: long non-coding RNA, 748 nt
Organism: Solanum pennellii
Lineage: Eukaryota; Viridiplantae; Streptophyta; Magnoliopsida; Solanales; Solanaceae
Exons: 2
Source: RefSeq, a predicted model, not a curated record
AUAUUGUGGCAAAAUCACACGGGUUUAUUCUCCCUCCCUUUUUUUUAAUCCUCCUCCACACAACCCCCCUUCCCCCAAUAAUUUCAAUAUGUUCUUUUUUAUUAAUCAAAAGGAAAAGAAAAUACGAGAAGCACGUCCUAAAAUUACCCCAAAUUCUCAAAAUAGCAGAAACCUUGAGUUGUCUUCUCCAAAAUCAAAUCUCGGCGCGAAGAUCUGUGAAUUUUUAUAAAAUAUUGCAGCAUCUACCUGAAGAGGUGUUCCAUUAAAGAUAUUGGCCCAUCCUAAUGAUGCCAUUGGAAAAGUGUAUGGAGUUGAACACUCUGGUUGUGUGCGUGGUAUAGGUGGUAAUUUUUGUCCUUCAACUGUUUUUGGGAUGUCUAGACAUUCAAUUAGUCAUGUAAAUGUCGGUACUUCCAAUAAUAUGCCUCAUCUACUUGUUGAAGACCUAGAGAAACAUGUAUAAACUUUGGAAGAGAAGCUUACCGAAUAUGAAGAGACCAAAGAAAAGCUUGAGGAAACUAAGAAACGACUUGCGCAAAAUGAGAAUCAAUUGGCAACUCUUCAUAGGUUUUUACAAGCCAAAUUUGGUAGUGAAUUGCCUACUUUCAACAUAAAUUCUCUUUAGUUUAUGAUGUAGCUUAAACUUUUUGCAUUUUGAUUACAUUAGCAAUACUUUUGCUAUCUUUUAUGAUGAAACUUGGCUUUUGUUCUAAUAUAUGACGAAUACUUUCCUUUUGUUUUAAUAUAA